This 386-nucleotide ribosomal RNA is filed under the name Chlamydomonas sp. RNAcentral's name for it is "partial small subunit ribosomal RNA". It matches the Rfam family "Eukaryotic small subunit ribosomal RNA", at positions 582 to 975 of the family's 1831-position model. The record is from RNAcentral. Lineage: Eukaryota; Viridiplantae; Chlorophyta; Chlorophyceae; Chlamydomonadales; Chlamydomonadaceae.
AUUCCAGCUCCAAUAGCGUAUAUUUAAGUUGCUGCAGUUAAAAAGCUCGUAGUUGGAUUUCGGGCGGUUGACGACGGUCCGCCUCUGGUGUGCACUGCCGUUCAUCCGCCUUUCUGUCGGGGACGUGCUCCUAGGCUUCAUUGUCUGGGACACGGGUUCGACGUGGUUACUUUGAGUAAAUUAGAGUGUUCAAAGCAGGCAUCGCCUUGAAUAUAUUAGCAUGGAAUAGCACGAUAGGACUCUGGCCUAUUUUGCUGGUCUGUAGGACCGGAGUAAUGAUUAAGAGGGACAGUCGGGGGCAUUCGUAUUUCAUUGUCAGAGGUGAAAUUCUUGGAUUUAUGAAAGACGAACUUCUGCGAAAGCAUUUGCCAAGGAUGUUUUCAUCG